ACUGUACAGGCCACCAACCUCCCCAGACAAAGACAGCCUGGAAGGUGAUGUCUUGAACAGAGCAAAAGCCACAUGGAUGCUAUCAACCUCUGUCAUCAACCACAGUGUCCUCAGAUCACAUCUUUGAAUGAGAGGGUACAGCCUGACCAUCAGUAAAGAUUGUGGUCAUGAGAAGGGGUGAUUGUCUGUCAACCAAGCUUUGCUAUCACUGGAAGCAGAGUGUGUAAAGGCUCAGCACAAAUUACAUCACUUCACCUUCAUAAGGAAGAAGGAUAAGACAGUUCUUUUCAUAAGUGACCAGGACUUUGAACCACCCAGCCCAGACAGACCCUGACCAGCAGGAACAGUCAUUUUUUUUCCAAUGAGUUCUUCAUCUC
This is a long non-coding RNA of Mastomys coucha (southern multimammate mouse), 377 nucleotides long. RefSeq lists it as uncharacterized. Lineage: Eukaryota; Metazoa; Chordata; Mammalia; Rodentia; Muridae. The record is from RefSeq and is a predicted model, not a curated record. The transcript has 3 exons.